UACGUAGGGGGCAAGCGUUGUCCGGAUUUAUUGGGCGUAAAGAGCGUGUAGGCGGUUAGGUAGGUCCGUUGUGAAAACUCGAGGCUCAACCUCGAGACGCCGAUGGAAACCAUCUAACUAGAGUCCGGAAGAGGAGAGUGGAAUUCCGUGGUGUAGCGGUGAAAUGCGCAGAUAUCAGGAAGAACACCCGUGGCUAAGGCGGCUCUCUAGUACGGUACUGACGCUGAGACGCGAAAGCGUGGGGAGCGAACAGG
Molecule: ribosomal RNA, 254 nt
Filed under: uncultured bacterium
Lineage: Bacteria
Description: partial 16S ribosomal RNA
Rfam family: Bacterial small subunit ribosomal RNA
Source: RNAcentral